UCUCAGUACCCCGAGGAAAAGAAAUCAACCGAGAUUCCCCCAGUAGCGGCGAGCGAACGGGGAGCAGCCCAGAGUCAACAUCAAUAUUUACCGCAGGAGAAGGGUCUGGAAAGGCCAGCAAUAAAGGGUGAUAGCCCCGUAUCUGAAACGGUAAGUGUUGUGAACUCGAAGAGUAGGGCGGGACACGUGUUAUCCUGUCUGAAUAUGGGGGGACCAUCCUCCAAGGCUAAAUACUCCUGACUGACCGAUAGUGAACCAGUACCGUGAGGGAAAGGCGAAAAGAACCCCGGCGAGGGGAGUGAAAUAGAACCUGAAACCGUGUACGUACAAGCAGUGGGAGCACCCGAAAGGGUGUGACUGCGUACCUUUUGUAUAAUGGGUCAGCGACUUAUAUUCUGUAGCAAGGUUAACCGCAUAGGGGAGCCGUAGGGAAACCGAGUCUUAACUGGGCGUUAAGUUGCAGGGUAUAGACCCGAAACCCGGUGAUCUAGCCAUGGGCAGGUUGAAGGUUGGGUAACACUAACUGGAGGAC
This 532-nucleotide ribosomal RNA is filed under the name Candidatus Arsenophonus nilaparvatae. Its description in RNAcentral is "bacterial LSU rRNA". It matches the Rfam family "Bacterial large subunit ribosomal RNA", at positions 201 to 774 of the family's 2925-position model. The record is from RNAcentral. Lineage: Bacteria; Pseudomonadati; Pseudomonadota; Gammaproteobacteria; Enterobacterales; Morganellaceae.